AGACGAAGGCCGGAGCGGUCCCUCGGACCCUCCAGCGGAGACUAGAGACGAAGGCCGGAGCGGUCCCUCGGACCCUCCAGCAGAAGCCAUCACUAAGCCAGCAGCCAUGGAGGCCACUAGCACACAUGAAAGCAACUGGCACUGCCCAGAGCACUGGCCCUGCCCAGGCAACGCUGACAUGAGGUGGUACUCAGGGGGCUGCUUAAACUGCAGGGGUCCAGAAUUAGCUGGGGCCUGACACCUAGCCUCUGGGGGAGCCCUGGAGUGGCAAACUGUACCAACGGCGGCUAACCCCUGAAAAGUACACUGAGAAGACGUAAGACUUCCUCCCUGCGUGGAGUGAACGGGUGAACCAGGUGGCCCUGGGGCCUGAACUACAAGUAACGGUGACACUGGAGGCACUGGAGACUGAACUACAGGUGACACUGGAGGCACUGGAGACUGAACUACAGGUGACACUGGAGGCACUGGAGACUGAACUACAGGUGACACUGGAGGCACUGGAGACUGAACUACAGGUGACACUGGGGGGAACUGAGCCGAAAGGGGCACUGGAGACUGCACUGAGGGUGAAGCUGGGGGCACUGGAAACUGCACUGAGGGUGAAGCUGGGAGCUCUGGAGACUGAGCAGA
Molecule: long non-coding RNA, 633 nt
Organism: Oreochromis aureus
Lineage: Eukaryota; Metazoa; Chordata; Actinopteri; Cichliformes; Cichlidae
Source: Ensembl